This 253-nucleotide ribosomal RNA is filed under the name uncultured bacterium. RNAcentral describes it as "partial 16S ribosomal RNA". It matches the Rfam family "Bacterial small subunit ribosomal RNA", at positions 524 to 776 of the family's 1533-position model. The record is from RNAcentral.
UACGUAGGGGGCAAGCGUUGUCCGGAAUCAUUGGGCGUAAAGAGCGCGUAGGCGGCCCUGUAAGUCCGCUGUGAAAGUCAAGGGCUCAACCCUUGAAUGCCGGUGGAUACUGCAGGGCUAGAGUCCGGAAGAGGCGAGUGGAAUUCCUGGUGUAGCGGUGAAAUGCGCAGAUAUCAGGAGGAACACCGAUUGCGAAGGCAGCUCGCUGGGACGUCACUGACGCUGAGACGCGAAAGCGUGGGGAGCAAACAGG